AGUUCUGUUAAGAGCUGGGCACAAAGAGCCCUUUGCACUCCAGCCGCAGGAGCGAGGAGGAGCCGAGACCUGGGGCGUCCAGCGCAGCCUCAAACCCAGGGGAUCGCUGCACUCUCAUUGCGACGUUGCUCUGGAUGCUGUUUGCAUAUCCUUGGGGAGUCACUGCUUUGGCACAACAGUCCCGCGAGGUGCUGGAGUUCCGUCUGUUCUCAUCACACGGACAUGGCUGAUCUGUCUCAGUGGUACCUGGGGGCGAAGCAGGGAGCCGGGCAGUGGAGGCCAACAUUGUUACCAAGUUGGCUCUGUUUUAACACAGGGACUGAGCCUUCUGAGCCUCAAGAGUUCCUGCUGCUUCCC
RNAcentral lists this long non-coding RNA (357 nucleotides) under Mus caroli (Ryukyu mouse). Its description in RNAcentral is "myocardial infarction associated transcript (MGP_CAROLIEiJ_G0006150.1)". The record is from RNAcentral. Lineage: Eukaryota; Metazoa; Chordata; Mammalia; Rodentia; Muridae.